UACGUAGGGUGCAAGCGUUAAUCGGAAUUACUGGGCGUAAAGCGUGCGCAGGCGGUUAUGUAAGACAGAUGUGAAAUGCCCGGGCUUAACCUGGGAACUGCAUUUGUGACUGCAUGGCUAGAGUUUGGCAGAGGGGGGUAGAAUUCCACGUGUAGCAGUGAAAUGCGUAGAUAUUGGGAGGAACACCAGUGGCGAAGGCGGCUACCUGGACCGGAACUGACGCUGAUGCGCGAAAGCGUGGGUAGCAAACAGG
This 253-nucleotide ribosomal RNA is filed under the name uncultured bacterium. RNAcentral's name for it is "partial 16S ribosomal RNA". It matches the Rfam family "Bacterial small subunit ribosomal RNA", at positions 524 to 776 of the family's 1533-position model. The record is from RNAcentral.